This 425-nucleotide ribosomal RNA is filed under the name uncultured rumen bacterium. RNAcentral's name for it is "bacterial SSU rRNA". It matches the Rfam family "Bacterial small subunit ribosomal RNA", at positions 354 to 776 of the family's 1533-position model. The record is from RNAcentral.
GUGAGGAAUAUUGGUCAAUGGGCGCAAGCCUGAACCAGCCAUGCCGCGUGAAGGAAUGAGGCCCUAUGGGUCGUAAACUUCUUUUGUGGUGGAGCAAUAAGGUGCACGUGUGCAUCGAUGAGAGUACAUCACGAAUAAGCAUCGGCUAACUCCGUGCCAGCAGCCGCGGUAAUACGGAGGAUGCAAGCGUUAUCCGGAUUUAUUGGGUUUAAAGGGUGCGUAGGCUGUUCGACAAGUCAGGGGUGAAAGCCCGGCGCCUAACGCCGGAACUGCCUUUGAUACUGCCGAGCUGGAAUACGGAUGCCGUGGGAGGAAUGAGUAGUGUAGCGGUGAAAUGCAUAGAUAUUACUCAGAACACCGAUUGCGAAGGCAUCUCACGAAUCCGUCAUUGACGCUGAGGCACGAAAGCGUGGGGAUCAAACAGG